This 96-nucleotide microRNA precursor is filed under the name Oryza glumipatula. RNAcentral's name for it is "pre miRNA MIR1428". It matches the Rfam family "MIR1861 microRNA precursor family". The record is from RNAcentral. Lineage: Eukaryota; Viridiplantae; Streptophyta; Magnoliopsida; Poales; Poaceae.
UUGCAUAUUCAUAGGCCCGGUCUUGUGGUAAGAACUGUGUAGUUCGUUAACUCGCUACACGGUUCUUGCCACAAGACCGAGUCUGUGAAUAUGCAA